AAGUCGUAACAAGGUUUCCGUAGGUGAACCUGCGGAAGGAUCAUUACCGAGUUUUCGAGCUCCGGCUCGACUCUCCCACCCUUUGUGAACGUACCUCUGUUGCUUUGGCGGCUCCGGCCGCCAAAGGACCUUCAAACUCCAGUCAGUAAACGCAGACGUCUGAUAAACAAGUUAAUAAACUAAAACUUUCAACAACGGAUCUCUUGGUUCUGGCAUCGAUGAAGAACGCAGCGAAAUGCGAUAAGUAAUGUGAAUUGCAGAAUUCAGUGAAUCAUCGAAUCUUUGAACGCACAUUGCGCCCCUUGGUAUUCCGGGGGGCAUGCCUGUUCGAGCGUCAUUACAACCCUCAAGCUCUGCUUGGAAUUGGGCACAGUCCUCACUGCGGACGCGCCUCAAAGACCUCGGCGGUGGCUGUUCAGCCCUCAAGCGUAGUAGAAUACACCUCGCUUUGGAGCGGUUGGCGUCGCCCGCCGGACGAACCUUCUGAACUUUUCUCAAGGUUGACCUCGGAUCAGGUAGGGAUACCCGCUGAACUUAA
This 538-nucleotide ribosomal RNA is filed under the name Lasiodiplodia theobromae. RNAcentral's name for it is "eukaryotic LSU rRNA". The stretch from base 184 to 337 matches the Rfam family "5.8S ribosomal RNA". The record is from RNAcentral. Lineage: Eukaryota; Fungi; Ascomycota; Dothideomycetes; Botryosphaeriales; Botryosphaeriaceae.